RNAcentral lists this long non-coding RNA (1122 nucleotides) under Zonotrichia albicollis (white-throated sparrow). RNAcentral describes it as "lncRNA (ENSZALG00000002094.1)". The record is from RNAcentral. Lineage: Eukaryota; Metazoa; Chordata; Aves; Passeriformes; Passerellidae.
CUGUGUCACACUGCUGUCCCUGUGUCACUCUGUCCCUGUGUGUCACACUGUCCCUGUGUCACACUGCUGUCCCUGUGUGUCACUCUGUCCCUGUGUCACUCUGCUGUCCCUGUGUCACACUGUCCCUGUGUCACACUGUCCUCUGUGUCACACUGUCCCUGUGUGUCACACUGUCCCUGUGUCACACUGUCCCUGUGUGUCACACUGCUGUCCCUGUGUCACUCUGUCCCUGUGUCACUCUGUCGCUGUGUGUCACACUGUCCCUGUGUCACACUGCUGUCCCUGUGUCACACUGUCCCUGUGUCACACUGCUGUCCCUGUGUCACACUGCUGUCCCUGUGUGUCACGCUGUUCUCUGUGUCACACUGUCCCUGUGCCACACUGUCCCUGUGUCACGCUGUCCCUGUGUCACUCUGCUGUCCAUGUGUGUCCCCAGGGACCUGGCGGUGUCGCGGCCCCUGCGGGUGGAGCUGCCGCGCUCCAUGGCCGAGGUGGUGACAAACUGGAACCUGCCCAUGUCCCGCUGGCUGCACACCUGUGAGCACUGGGGACACUGGGGGGGACUGGGGACACUGGGGGGGGCCCUGAAGCCCAUACUGGUGUGAGUGGUGUCCCAUACUGGUGUGUCUCACUGGUAUCACUGGUGCACACCGGUGUCACUGGUGUAGCUGAUGUCACUAGUGUCCCUGAUGCCCCACACUGGUGUCCCUGGUGUCACUGGUGUAGCUGAUGUCCCUCAAUGGUGUCCCACACUGGUGUCACUGGUGUAGCUGAUGUCCCACACUGGUGUCCCACACUGGUGUCACUGGUGUCCCUGGUGCCCCACACUGGUGUCACUGGUGUAGCUGAUGUCCCUCACUGGUGCCCCACACUGGUGUCACUGGUGUCCCUGGUGCCCCACACUGGUGUCACUGGUGUAGCUGAUGUCCCUCACUGGUGUCNGCUCUCGUUCCACUUCAGCAAUUACUUCGUGGCCUUCCUGUCCGAGGCCACGGCCACGCUGGCAGGGUCAGGGCACAGCGAGCGCCACGAGCACCUGCACUGGUGAGGGACAAUGACAAUGUAUGUGACACUGUGUGACUGUGUGUGACAUGUGUGACUGUAUGUGACACUGUGUGUGAC